This 497-nucleotide ribosomal RNA is filed under the name uncultured bacterium. Its description in RNAcentral is "partial 16S ribosomal RNA". It matches the Rfam family "Bacterial small subunit ribosomal RNA", at positions 28 to 507 of the family's 1533-position model. The record is from RNAcentral.
GAUGAACGCUGGCGGCGUGCCUAAUACAUGCAAGUCGAGCGAACGGACGAGAAGCUUGCUUCUCUGAUGUUAGCGGCGGACGGGUGAGUAACACGUGGAUAACCUACCUAUAAGACUGGGAUAAAUUCGGGAAACCGGAGCUAAUACCGGAUGAUAUUUUGAACCGCAUGGUUCAAAAGUGAAAGACGGUCUUGCUGUCACUUAUAGAUGGAUCCGCGCUGCAUUAGCUAGUUGGUAAGGUAGCGGCUUACCAAGGCAACGAUGCAUAGCCGACCUGAGAGGGUGAUCGGCCACACUGGAACUGAGACACGGUCCAGACUCCUACGGGAGGCAGCAGUAGGGAAUCUUCCGCAAUGGGCGAAAGCCUGACGGAGCAACGCCGCGUGAGUGAUGAAGGUCUUCGGAUCGUAAAACUCUGUUAUUAGGGAAGAACAUAUGUGUAAGUAACUGUGCACAUCUUGACGGUACCUAAUCAGAAAGCCACGGCUAACUACGUG